Molecule: long non-coding RNA, 993 nt
Organism: Homo sapiens (human)
Lineage: Eukaryota; Metazoa; Chordata; Mammalia; Primates; Hominidae
Product: long independently transcribed non-coding RNA 2883
Exons: 6
Source: RefSeq, marked validated
GCCUGCGUGCAGGGUGGCUCUGCUGUGAACAGGAACCCGGAGGUGCCCCAGCACGGUGGCUCUCAGCAGUGGCUUCCGUGGUGCUCAGUGGUGUGCUGGCCCACAAAAUCCAAAUAGCGCCUUCACAGUGUAAGAAGUGCUUCUGAUGCUGGCGUAGGGGCAUGACGCCAGAUUCCUUAGAAAAUGGAAUGAUCUUGAGCGGGUGUGUCUCAGAGGCCUGAGCGCUUCACUCUGGGCAUCCAAAGCCAGGAGUUGGCUCCAGCUAGAGUCCAGACAGCAGCAGAGGUGAAGUUCCCUGUCACACAGUCACAGGCUAGAACUCAGUCACAUCCACGCCUGACUGCGAGCGGGACUGGAAAGUGCCCCGAGGAAACUCCAGGACUCCAACGCCAAGUAAAGGGAGCGUAGAUAUUAGACAGGUAAAGGAGAUGAGCAGCGUUGCUCUGGUACGCAGAGAAGCUUCCAGACACUCCUGGGUUGCACGAUAGAUUAAGUAAUUCUACUGAUGGGCACCAGCUCCAUGCCAGGACCCAGGGCUCCAAAGCCAUUUCCAGGAUAAAUGCAGGCUCUGAGAGCGAGUGCCACGGAUGACUCCUCCAUGGCCGCACUUUCUUCACAUUGGCUCCUGUGAGCUUCCUCAACGCUUUCGAAGCUGGCCCCGCUUCUGUCCACUCUGCAGAGUGAACGUUGAGGCCUGCGAGGUCCCUGCCAUGCCUGUCUCCUCCUCCCAGCAGUAGUGUGAGCUCUGCUCCGGGAUCAAGGCCAGAUCUUUGCAGCCCAUGUGCUUGGCUCCCUCAGCUGAGCCUCAGGACGUGGGUCCUCAGUUUGUGCUGUGCAGCGUGAGGGGCCACACUGCAGUCAAGCCAGCUGGGUGCAAACAGCAGCUUUUCUUCUACUUGGUGGCCCUCCUUGGGAAGGUCCCUCUGCUCCUGUAACUUCAUUUCCUCAUUGAUAACAAAGAAAAAAACAGAUCAUAUUGCCUGUUGUAAGGAU